UACGGAGGGUGCAAGCGUUAAUCGGAAUUACUGGGCGUAAAGCGCGCGUAGGUGGUUUGAUAAGCGAGAUGUGAAAGCCCCGGGCUUAACCUGGGAACGGCAUUUCGAACUGUCAGGCUAGAGUAUGGUAGAGGAGUGUGGAAUUUCCUGUGUGAGGUAC
Molecule: ribosomal RNA, 160 nt
Filed under: uncultured bacterium
Lineage: Bacteria
Description: partial 16S ribosomal RNA
Rfam family: Bacterial small subunit ribosomal RNA
Source: RNAcentral